RNAcentral lists this ribosomal RNA (468 nucleotides) under uncultured bacterium. RNAcentral describes it as "partial 16S ribosomal RNA". It matches the Rfam family "Bacterial small subunit ribosomal RNA", at positions 28 to 507 of the family's 1533-position model. The record is from RNAcentral.
GACGAACGCUGGCGGCGUGCUUAACACAUGCAAGUCGAACGGAAAGGCCCUGCUUUUGUGGGGUGCUCGAGUGGCGAACGGGUGAGUAACACGUGAGUAACCUGCCCUUGACUUUGGGAUAACUUCAGGAAACUGGGGCUAAUACCGUAUAGGAGAUCCUGCUGCAUGGUGGGGGUUGGAAAGUUUCGGCGGUUGGGGAUGGACUCGCGGCUUAUCAGCUUGUUGGUGGGGUAGUGGCUUACCAAGGCUUUGACGGGUAGCCGGCCUGAGAGGGUGACCGGCCACAUUGGGCCUGAGAUACGGCCCAGACUCCUACGGGAGGCAGCAGUGGGGAAUAUUGCACAGUGGGCGGACGCCUGAUGCAGCAACGCCGCGUGCGGGAUGACGGCCUUCGGGUUGUGAACAGCUUUCGCCUGUGACGAAGCGGGAGUGACGGUAACGGGUAAAGAAGCACCGGCUAACUACGUG